RNAcentral lists this ribosomal RNA (254 nucleotides) under uncultured bacterium. Its description in RNAcentral is "partial 16S ribosomal RNA". It matches the Rfam family "Bacterial small subunit ribosomal RNA", at positions 524 to 776 of the family's 1533-position model. The record is from RNAcentral.
UACGUAGGGGGCAAGCGUUGUCCGGAUUUAUUGGGCGUAAAGAGCUCGUAGGCGGUUUGGUAAGUCUGGUGUGAAAUCUCCACGCUCAACGUGGAGGGGCCACCCGAUACUGCCAUGACUGGAGUCCGGAAGAGGCGAGUGGAAUUCCUGGUGUAGCGGUGGAAUGCGCAGAUAUCAGGAGGAACACCGAUGGCGAAGGCAGCUCGCUGGGACGGUACUGACGCUGAGGCGCGAAAGCUAGGGGAGCAAACGGG